AGUGUAAUUAAUCAUCAUCAUCAUUAUCAUCGUUAUUAUGGAACGAAAAUGACACAAAUACUCUUAACCAUUAUCUUUGAAAAAUAAAAAAAUAAGGGUAAAAUGGACAUUACAUCAUUUGGUGCAAAAAAUUGUGUAAAAUGGUGCAACACUAUUCAUGUUGCACCAUUUUGCACCAAAAUUUGGUGCAAUGGUGCAAUCGUUGGAGGAAGUUUGCACCAAAUUUUGGUGCAAUUCGGUGUAAUAGGGCAUGCAUUAGAGAUGCCCUUAUAGCGUUUGUACUUUUGGCUUUCAACAUUUUAUCUUUAUCUAGCUAAAAAGCUUCAUUUUUUCUUUAAUCUUUACUCUACCGUGUAUGUUCUUCUUUUGUUUAUCCUUCAGUUUUAGUUUAGGUAUGUUGUCAUCUUUAUACUUCUAUUGCCUUUCUUACUAUAAGUUAUUCUCCAUUUAAUUAUGCACAAGCUCAAUUGCAUCCAAUAAAAAAGGUUUUAAUCUGUUUAGUGUUAAGCACAAUGAAAAAUUAUAGAUAGUCUUCAAACCGACAACGUAAAUGAUUAUUUUUUUCUUCAAAAUGGCUAUGUAUCCACAUUCAAUUGUAACUUGCAAUCCACUACCCAAAACCUAUAGAAGUUUACUCCCUGGCUAGCCAACCAUAUCCACACAUGCCGUUCAAUUUGGAAUAGAUCUCUCCCAGUCUAGCUUCUUUACUUUGUAAAUGGAACUUUAGGAUAUUCUUUAUUGGAUGAGUGACUUCUUUUGACCGAUUCACAUUAAUCGAACAUUUGAUUUCAGUAGCUUGUAUCAUUUAGUUGGCUUACAUUUUUCUGCAUUUGUCAUAUUAACUCACGAUCCAUUUAUGUUCAAUUGGAUAAGUGAUUUAUAGGGUUUCUAUUAUGAUGAAUUUUAAAACAUCUAGGAUUCAGUGAGGAUCAUUUUCACCAAAUUGAAGUAGAAGCAAAAAAACCGGUUGAUGUAUGGUUAUUUUUAUUAUCUAAACUCUGCUUUUAAGAGAUUUUAGUGACUGCUUGGUUUACUUCCAAUUAACAUAUUGUUUUCAUUAGUAGUAUGUAAGUAGUCGGUCCAACAUAUUUAUGUUGCUGCUUUAGCUAAAAUAUUUGGGAAGAAUAAUUGAUUACUGAACUUUAUACUCAUGCUAAUAUAAUAUCACAAAUUCUUAUAAUUAUCUGAGCAAUGGAGCUCUGCAGAAAAUGCAAAAAGAACCCUAUUACUGUCACUAUAACUCUUGGCCGUGCCCCCUUGCAUUAUUUUUUAUGCCCUAUCAUAUGGAAAAUACUGAUUUAUGAUUGCUACCCUGUAAAGAUAGAUAUGGUUGCAUUACAUUAUCUGCUCAAACCAAUGUAUGUCUAAGUAGGUAAGCGAGAUUUGAUUUUUACUGAUAGUAAACCCAUUUCACUAAUGAAAUUGUUGGAUGCAAUACACGUGAUGGUUUUCUGUUCGGUUUUCUAGCAACACAAGCAUUUCCAAAUUUGUCGAAAUUGCAGUCCCUUUUAAAUAUCACUUUGCAAAACAGACAUGCCUUUUGGUGAAAUGGUUAUAUCCUCUUCAGUUCUCUGGCUUCAUCAGGUAUUUGGACCAAUUUUCUCUCUUUUACUAUUCUUUGGGGUGCAUUUCCAACUUGUUUGUACGGUAUAUAGAAUAACAUCAUGGCAUAUGGUUGCAGAAGCCUCAUUGAUACAAGAACUUUUUCCUCCUCCAAGCAGCAUAUGUCGUUCACUAUGGCUUUGAAGGUGCCACAAGCGGUCUAACACGCUUUUGGUAAUUGUUUCAACUUUUCUGAGAUGACUAUACAUCAUGCUAUUGGAUAUUUGUUUUGUGAUUUCUCAUCAUUCGAAGAUUUCUCCAUUUGCUUAUGUCAAAGUCUCGACUUCUUUCUAUAUUUCUUCUUUUAUAGUUAUCAUUUAAUUUAAGCUCUUCCGUGCUAGUUAGGGAUGGCAGUGGGGGCGGGUUCAGAGCGGGGCAGGGCGAUCGCCCCGCCGCAUUUGUUGCCCCGUUUAUUUUUUUAUUAUUUAUUUUAAAUUUUAAAUUAUGUUAUUAUUAGAGAAUAAAAUAUAAAUCCAAAAUUUUAAAAUUCAAAGUAAACACUUGAAAUAAACAAUAUUAAAUAUUAAACAAUUUCAAAUAAAAUUACGUUUUGACUAAAUUUUUUUUCUUUUGUAAUUAAUUAAAAUUUUACAUUUGUAUUUUAUUAUCUAAUAAUAAUAUAACUUGAAAUUUAAAAAAAAAAAUCAUGGGGCGGGGCACCCCCGUCCCGCCAACCCAUCGGGCCGGGUUUUUUUGCCCUAUUCGGGAUGGGGCCCUGCCGGGGCGGGGAGGGGCGGGUUUUUUUUGCCAUUAUUAGUGCUCGUAUGCUACCGUGAUUACCUUAUAGUAGCCAUGUAAAGACAAAAUCCGUAUAUUGACUAUUUUGUAUUCGCUUGUGGAAAGGAGAAUAUAUUUUGCACGUACAAAUUGGUUUAAAAUUCAACUCCUAAUGUUCCUUCUAAUUGUCCAACUUUGCUACAAGUUGCUUCGUUAUUCAAAUUAGUUUAAAACAUUAAUAUGUCCUCCCAUUUAUUUGACUUAACUAUGAUGCCAUACGGAUAUAUCUUCUUUUUUAUAGAUAUAUUCUUUUCUACAAAAAGCAUCACUCCAUCUUUUUGCAUUUCAUACUGCUAUUUUGGGUCAUUCAUCAGCUAAGAGUAUAUGAAGCUAAUCUAUCCACAAGCAUUUUACAUUAUUUCAUUAGGCGUAAGCUUAUUUUAAUUCUGUGUAUAUCUGAUCCCAUGUUCGAAUCAGUCUGUGUGGUUUCAUAGUUAAAAACUUCUAUGACUAAAAUAUCAAAUAUGUGCCAUAGUUCAUGUGCACAUAAAUACCUCCCUUCCUUAAAUAAUCUCACAUACAACGACAUUUAGGAAUAUGUGAUUAAGAGUGAAUUGAACGAUGAAUUUCAUUUAUAAAGUGUAUGUCAUACUACAGAUUAGUAAUUGCCUAAGAUUUAAAUGAAAACUUAACUUUUAGAAUAAUUCCAUUACUAUUCGAAACAUUAACACUAAUGGGAUUGCUUUCGCCCAUCACUGACAGAAUGUCCCUCUCAGUGAUUCGAUUUCUAAUGAGUGUCACCACACAUUUGUCACUCGUGAAAACUAUCAUUGUGGCCCAAAUUUUUCUUCCUUUAGAUGUAAUCAAUGAUAUUGGUAGGUUAAAUAUGGACCUCAAUAUUGCAGCAAAUAAAUUGGAGCAGAAGAUAAAUGAAAACACAAACAAAACUCAACGAAUUUUCAAUAUAUAUUCAGUAUGAUUAUGUAUACCUUGAAUGGAUUUUAAUUUACUUCAACUAAUUCAUUCAUCAUAUGAUUAUGUAUACCUUGAAUGAAUUUUAAUUUACUUCAACUAAUUCAUUCAUCAUUUAAUUUCAAUAACCAAAGGCAUUGUUUCAGGAGAUCAGCACUUAGUACUGUUGCUGCAGUGAUGCUGCUUAUAUAGUUAUAUUUCUUCUGGACCUCAGUAUGCGUUCUUAGACAUCUCAUAUUCUUUAACUGGAAUUAUGCGUUUUCUAUUGCUCAUUGGGUAGUUUUUAGGCACAUUUCUGUUUUGUUCUCCCUGUUUAGUCCUCUUACAUGUUUCUACACAAAUUAGCAUAAUCAAUUUUUAUUCAUUCUUGUUGCUAACUUUAUUGAUGACUAAGUUUAGUUAACCGAAAUUGUAAGUUUACUGCCUUUGAUUGUACUUUUUGGUGCAAAUUUCAUGAAGAAGUUGAAACUUUGAAGUAAAAAACAAGUUCUUUAACACGUUGAUUCCUCUUUAAAUAAGAGAUAAACCUAUUUAGAAGUUUUAAUUCAAAGUAAGUGUUCAGCUAACAAAUAUAAUGCAUUAAUAAAAUAUUGUUACCAGAAGGUUAAAGAAGAGAAAUUACCCAUGGUGAAAGAGGAGAAAGUGCCAAAGAGGAAAUGUCCGCAGAAGACAGACUCAAAUGUAAACAAAUUUGGAAAUGUAAAACUUUCACUUACUGCAUACAUAAUUUGCGACCACAAUUUCUUCCUGAAGGUCGUGUAGACUGAACAAUUUAUUUAUUGUGUUUGUGUUUAAAUUUAGUUACGACAUAUAUAUCUUCAAUGUACCUAGCCACGAAGAAGUAACCUGUAU
Molecule: long non-coding RNA, 4143 nt
Filed under: Olea europaea subsp. europaea
Lineage: Eukaryota; Viridiplantae; Streptophyta; Magnoliopsida; Lamiales; Oleaceae
Source: RNAcentral